RNAcentral lists this small RNA (558 nucleotides) under Histoplasma capsulatum var. duboisii H88. RNAcentral describes it as "Histoplasma capsulatum H88 hypothetical RNA". The record is from RNAcentral. Lineage: Eukaryota; Fungi; Ascomycota; Eurotiomycetes; Onygenales; Ajellomycetaceae.
AGCUAAGCGAAGGUAUCUCAACAAAAUAUGAGGACAAGAAUUUGUGUGAAAUUAUUGGGUAUCUCAAAACUGAAAAGAAGAACGUGCAACGAGUGCAAGGUUCCAAAUGGAACAUGGUUCUACAAAUAGUCCAAUCCCUUAUCCCUCAUGCUUAGGUCUCAUCAUACUUAAGGGUCGUCGCUCUUCGUCGUUUAGCCAUAGAGAUUGAUCUCAUCUUGGGGGGUUUGAUCCUAACUUCGACGGCUUCCACAAAUGAUUGCCCUUGGAUUGUUUGUGAAGGGCUUUUUCUUCAGUGACAUGUUUCUUCAAUAAAUCGUCUAGUGCGCAAAAACCAAGAAUGUUAGUUAGAGAAAAACCUGAGAAAUAGAAUGACUUACUCUGAUCUUCUAUUUUAAAGUCCUUCCGCUAACAGGCUCAUCUGCCUCUGGCCUCUUGCAUGCCACCACGUGACAAGGCAACACCCGAUGCCCCUAAACUCCGUGGCACUGAAGAAAGAGCAAGGGUAAUAACACGUUCACUUGACAUAACGAUGACAGACUCGGGGUGAGCAAAAUCCAA